This 325-nucleotide long non-coding RNA is filed under the name Haliotis rubra (blacklip abalone). RNAcentral describes it as "uncharacterized LOC124257391". Lineage: Eukaryota; Metazoa; Mollusca; Gastropoda; Lepetellida; Haliotidae. The record is from RNAcentral.
ACUAUAUAAGCCCCGGUUGCUGUCCAAGACGCUAUACCCACUAAACAGACAACAUGAAGUAUCUCGCUCUUCUCCUGGUCAUUGCAGUCUUCACCCUCAACGCUGGCGAGGUGAGUGGCCAGCAGUGUGCGGGCUCCUGUAAGAACGAGGCACAUGGUGGACACGACUUCUGCGUUGCUGAGUGUGCUUCCUGCGCACAUGGAGCCCACUGUGACCAUCACAAUGACGUCUGUAUCUGCCCAAACGCUUAGGGAUGUUCUCCUGUACACGGUUUUGGAUGUCUUCACAUGAAGCAAAUACUUAAAUAAAAUUGUGUCAUAUUUUA